AUUGAACGCUGGCGGCAUGCUUUACACAUGCAAGUCGAACGGUAACAGGCCUUCGGGUGCUGACGAGUGGCGAACGGGUGAGUAAUGCAUCGGAACGUACCCAGAGGUGGGGGAUAACGCAGCGAAAGCUGUGCUAAUACUGCAUGUGAUCUGAGGAUGAAAGCGGGGGACCGAGCAGCAAUGUUUGGCCUCGCGCCUUUGGAGCGGCCGAUGUCGGAUUAGCUAGUUGGUGGGGUAAAGGCCUACCAAGGCGACGAUCCGUAGCUGGUCUGAGAGGACGACCAGCCACACUGGGACUGAGACACGGCCCAGACUCCUACGGGAGGCAGCAGUGGGGAAUUUUGGACAAUGGGCGCAAGCCUGAUCCAGCAAGGCCGCGUGCGGGAAGAAGGCCUUCGGGUUGUAAACCGCUUUUGGCAGGAACGAAACGGUGUCCGCUAAUACCGGGCGCUAAUGACGGUACCUGCAGAAUAAGCACCGGCUAACUACGUG
RNAcentral lists this ribosomal RNA (492 nucleotides) under uncultured bacterium. RNAcentral's name for it is "partial 16S ribosomal RNA". It matches the Rfam family "Bacterial small subunit ribosomal RNA", at positions 29 to 507 of the family's 1533-position model. The record is from RNAcentral.